This 610-nucleotide long non-coding RNA is filed under the name Lepisosteus oculatus (spotted gar). RNAcentral describes it as "lncRNA (ENSLOCG00000021165.1)". The record is from RNAcentral. Lineage: Eukaryota; Metazoa; Chordata; Actinopteri; Semionotiformes; Lepisosteidae.
GGCAAAGUGUAGUUUGUAUAGAUAGAAUCACAUAAAACUGCAUCACGUAAGUGAAUUAAAGGAUAACCAGGAGCACAUAAAUAAAACAGCUGCAACUUGUUACCUGAUGAUUAGUAGUCAAGUUGAAAGAAGCAUCAUGAUCCUCCUAUUAAAGCUGUGCAUUUAAAUACUGAGGUCCAAUAAAACAAUAGGUCUUGUAGAAGUCUUCAUUGUUGAAAAGUGUUGUGAAUCAGUCUGCAUUUUUAAGUGAAUGCAAGCUGAUGUUCUGUUCAUUGAAAAGCAUUUUAAAUUGCAGAGGUGCAGGAUACUGGAGCAGCUGCUGAUUCGCAGUCAGUUUUCUCAGAUCCAGUUGCUGUGGACUAUUCUCCAGCCAGUCUGUCACAGGGACUUCAUGUACACCGCUAGAAUGGCUUUUCCUGAGUUCCAGCUGAGUCCCAUCAGCACCGAGUUCAGCCGUAGGCUCAGCAGGUGGUUUAAAGGUGGGCGGAUGGGUCGGCUUUUCCGGGUCCCCAGUGUCUUUCUGAGAGAUCUGGAUGACGUGAGGAGAUUCACCUCGAACGGUCAACACACACAAGAGCAAACAGAGAGGCUGGGGACUGGUCCAGUGAAA